This is an RNA transcript of Solanum verrucosum, 1781 nucleotides long. It is a transcript of the gene named protein ROOT PRIMORDIUM DEFECTIVE 1, with no coding region annotated. The transcript has 3 exons. The record is from RefSeq and is a predicted model, not a curated record. Lineage: Eukaryota; Viridiplantae; Streptophyta; Magnoliopsida; Solanales; Solanaceae.
UCCUCCUAAAACCCUAAACCCCAAAUUCAAGAACUCACAUUAUAAUCAAAAUGCACAUUUUCCUUUCGAUUUCAUCAAAAUUAUUACAGUCAAAAUCCACAUCCUUCAAGUCCCUCACAUGGAUUCCUACAGUUUUCUUACUAUCCCCAAAGCAAAUGUCACAGUCAACUUCCAUACCCAGAAACCAACAGCGUAUUCGUGACCACGGCUACGAUGAUUACAUGGAAGUGGAGAAGAAAAUCCGUAAAGUAAUGAAAUUCCAAGAACUGCUUCUUACUCAACCAAAUUCAAUGAUCGCCAUUUCUCGCCUUGAUAUGCUUGCUCGCCGUUUUGGGUUCAAACAAUAUGAAGCAGGGAAGUUUAUUCUCAAAUUCCCUCAUGUUUUCGAGGUAUUCGAACACCCAGUUCAGAGAAUAUUAUAUUGCAGGCUUACUCGUAAAUCACUGCUUCAAAUUGAGCAAGAAAAACUAGCCCUUUUAGCUCAAUUGCCUCAAGCUGUAACCCGUUUACGAAAGCUUCUGUUGCUUUCGAAUACGGGGAGAUUAAGGUUAGAACAUGUUAGGAUUGCAAGGAAAGAUUUUGGUUUACCUGAUGAUUUUGAGUUUUCUGUGGUUUUGAAGUAUCCCAAGUAUUUUAGAUUGUUUGAUGCUAAAGAGACUAGGAAUAAGUAUAUUGAGGUUGUUGAAAGAGACCCGCGAUUAACUGUUUGUGCUGUGGAGAAUGUUAGGGAGAGAGAGUAUAGAGAAAAGGGUGGCGAAGAAGAGAAUGUGCGGUUUUCGUUUAGAGUAAAUUUCCCCCCUGGUUUCAAGAUUGGGAAGUAUUAUAAGAUUGCUGUUUGGAAGUGGCAAAGGUUGCCUUAUUGGUUGCCGUAUGAGGAUAUCUCUGGUUAUGAUUUAAGGUCACUCGAGGCACAGAAGAGAAUGGAAAAGAGAGCAGUUGCGACUAUUCAUGAAUUGUUGUCAUUGACAGUUGAAAAGAAGAUUACUUUGGAGAGAAUUGCGCAUUUUAGGUUGGCUAUGGAUUUGCCAAAGAAGCUGAAAGACUUUCUUCUUCAGCAUCAGGGGAUAUUUUAUAUUUCGACGAGGGGAAAUCAAGGGAAAUUGCAUACGGUGUUUCUCAGGGAGGCUUAUAGGAAGGGAGAGUUGAUUGAGCCUAAUGAGUUAUAUUUAGCUAGGAGAAGGCUGGCUGAAUUGGUUUUGCUGAGUCCAAGGAAAGUCAUUGUGGAUAGAAGAUUGAUUAAUUAUGGAAAACAGGGAGGCGAUGAUGAAAUAGCUGACUACGUUGAGAAUGGAGGAGAUCAUUCAGCCGCCCGAGAGACGGUUAGAGAAGAUUUGGGAGAAGAAAGCCUGGACUCUGAUGAUGAUUGCAGUAUUGACUCUGAUGGUGAUUGCAGUAUUGACACUGAUGGUGAUUGCAGUAUUGACACUGAGUACACACACAAGGAAGCCAAUAAUGAUGAUGUUACUGAUGAUGCAGAGGACACUCGUGUCACUGAUGUAUAGGCAUAAGGCCUUUGGCCUUUUGCUGCUGAAUUAUUUGCUUAGCCUCUUAGACUCUUAGUUGCUGGCCUGCUGUGUAGGCUGCUGAUACAUGUUUGCGUCGAUCAUGCAAAAUUGCAAGCCAUGUGAUAAAAAAACAGCUAUUGCCUUGGUGCAUAUGAUAUUAGGCCCAUACCAAAGAACCGAACCGAAUUAGAAAAGAUGGAAACAAACCGAGCACCGAUGUAAGCUUUUACCCCUGGCUACUUGAGAGCUGGUCAAGUUCUUCUUCCUCUUAGAUGC